GGAUAGCGUGGCUAUUACCCCUGACAACGGUUGUUGAAAGGCGUUGAAACAGCCAUUCGGUCUCCCUUCUAUCUUUCGUCUGAACCGAGAUCAGGGAUCCAAGUUUCCUAAUGAAAGAGAUUGAUUCCGGACCGAAGACUCCAGAUGACUCCACAAUAAUCGUUCUGUGAAGCAUAUCCUGGAGAGGAGGCUGAGGCGAUCAGGUUUGUCUCUGAGAAGGUGUCGGUGCAGGCGCAGUCCCAAACAAGGCACUUCCCGCCUUUUUCCGUCUGUGCGGAUGAGACCAGGAGGCUCCAGCUGUGCCGGGAAACCAGUUGCAUGUAAAGCGUUCUUGACAAUUAGGUUCAUUGCAUGAUGUCUUGGAAACCGGCCUGCACUGCGUC
This is a long non-coding RNA of Octopus sinensis (East Asian common octopus), 383 nucleotides long. RefSeq lists it as uncharacterized. The transcript has 3 exons. The record is from RefSeq and is a predicted model, not a curated record. NCBI's taxonomy places the organism in Eukaryota, Metazoa, Mollusca, Cephalopoda, Octopoda, Octopodidae.